This 424-nucleotide ribosomal RNA is filed under the name Trachycephalus typhonius group sp. ABGD cluster 17. RNAcentral's name for it is "partial large subunit ribosomal RNA". It matches the Rfam family "Bacterial large subunit ribosomal RNA", at positions 1834 to 2439 of the family's 2925-position model. The record is from RNAcentral. Lineage: Eukaryota; Metazoa; Chordata; Amphibia; Anura; Hylidae.
CUUGAAUAUUUAUAAGAGGUCCAGCCUGCCCAGUGACUCUGUUCAACGGCCGCGGUAUCCUAACCGUGCGAAGGUAGCGUAAUCACUUGUUCUUUAAAUGAGGACUCGUAUGAAUGGCACCACGAGGGUUAUACUGUCUCCUUUUUCUAAUCAGUGAAACUAAUCUCCCCGUGAAGAAGCGGGGAUAAAAAUAUAAGACGAGAAGACCCUAUGGAGCUUUAAACUUGAUAACAAAUACUACUCUUUAUUUAACUUUCAGAACAUAAACCUUUAUUUUAGUAUUAUGAUUAUUAGUUUUAGGUUGGGGUGACCGCGGAGCAAAAAUUAACCUCCACAUUGAACGGAAUUCAUUCCUGAGCAAAAAGCCACGACUUUAAGCACCAAUAAAUUGACAUCAAUUGACCCAAUAUUUUGAUCAACGAAC